This 1169-nucleotide long non-coding RNA is filed under the name Salmo salar (Atlantic salmon). RNAcentral's name for it is "lncRNA (ENSSSAG00000091956.1)". Lineage: Eukaryota; Metazoa; Chordata; Actinopteri; Salmoniformes; Salmonidae. The record is from RNAcentral.
AUAAAGCAUUGGCUCAGUAAUUUGGAGAUGGUUCGGAUUCAAAGUAUCAGAUGAGCAACAAAAUCACGUUAUAUGUAGGCAGUGCCAUAAAAAAAGUUACAGCCAGGGGUGGAAGCACUACAAAUCUUUUUCACCACCUAAAACAGUGGCACAAACUGCAAUACGAAGAGUGUGUGAAACUACGCGCUGCAGAAGCCCCAGCCGCCGAAACCCGAAAAAGCUCCAGCCCCGAAACAAAGCUCACUGCAAACUUCAUUUUCCCGCAGUGUGCCUUAUGAAAAGAAAAUUGGCAAGUGGUGUACUAUAACUAAAGCGGUGUCCUAUCACAUUGGUAAAGAUAUGGUCCCUGUUGCAACUGUGGAACAAGUCGGAUUCAAAAAGCUACUGAAAACUAUGGACCCGAGAUAUGAGCUUCCCAGUCGCAACUACUUUGCACGAGAAGCACUGCCACAAAUGUACACUGAAGUCAGGCACCUUAUGGAGCUUUGAUUUCAAAAAAGCCCUAACCUGAGCCCUGGGACCACGUCUCAGGACUACCUGGCCUGAUCACUCCUUGCUGUCCCCAGUCCACCUGGUCAUGCUGCUGCUCCAGUUUCAACCGUUCUGCCUGCGGCUACGGAACCCUGACCUGUUCACCGGACGUACUACCUUGUCCCAGACCUGACAUUUACUCCUGAGAUGCUGACCUGUUGCACCCUCUUGAACCACUGUGAUUAUUAUUAUUUGAGCCUGCUGGUCAUCUAUGAACGUUUGCCCAUGUACUGUUAUAAUCUCCACCCGGCACAGCCAGAAGAGGACUGGAUACCCCUCAGAGCCUGGUUCCUCUAGGUUCCUGCCUUUCUAGGGAGUUUUUCCUAGCCACCGUGCAUCUGCAUUGCUUGCUGUUUGGGGUUUUAGGCUGGGUUUCUGUACAGCACUUUGACAUCGGCUGAUGUUGAAAGGGCUUAAUGAAUAAAAUUUGAUUGCAUACGGCCGAGUACAUCAUUGAGUAGAAGCUUACUGCCAUCCAGGAUCUACUGUAUAUACUAGGCGGUGUCAGAGGAAGAGCAAAAAAAAUGGUCUAAGACUCCAGUCACAUUGUAAAGUAUGUCAUUUCAAUAGUGUUGCGAUAUCAGAUGUCAUGGAGUAACAAACUUUAAGAUGGAUUUGAUACUAUCUCUGCAAAAGGC